Molecule: ribosomal RNA, 464 nt
Filed under: uncultured bacterium
Lineage: Bacteria
Description: partial 16S ribosomal RNA
Rfam family: Bacterial small subunit ribosomal RNA
Source: RNAcentral
GACGAACGCUGGCGGCGUGCUUAACACAUGCAAGUCGAGCGGUAAGGCCUCUUCGGGGGUACACGAGCGGCGAACGGGUGAGUAACACGUGGGUGACCUGCCCUCAGCUCUGGGAUAAGCCUGGGAAACUGGGUCUAAUACCGGAUAUGACCACAUGUUGCAUGGUGUGUGGUGGAAAGUUUUUUCGGCUGGGGAUGGGCCCGCGGCCUAUCAGCUUGUUGGUGGGGUGAUGGCCUACCAAGGCGACGACGGGUAGCCGGCCUGAGAGGGCGACCGGCCACACUGGGACUGAGACACGGCCCAGACUCCUACGGGAGGCAGCAGUGGGGAAUAUUGCGCAACGGGCGGAAGCCUGACGCAGCGACGCCGCGUGGGGGAUGACGGCCUUCGGGUUGUAAACCUCUUUCGACCGGGACGAAGCGUAAGUGACGGUACCGGUAGAAGAAGCACCGGCCAACUACGUG